Podarcis lilfordi (Lilford's wall lizard) is the source of this 133-nucleotide non-coding RNA. The record is from the annotation of a GenBank genome assembly. Lineage: Eukaryota; Metazoa; Chordata; Lepidosauria; Squamata; Lacertidae.
GCUUUGGGGUUGUCUCUGUCUGUCUGUCUGUCUCUCUCUCUCUCUCUCUUUCUGUGUGUGUGUGUGUGUGUGUGUGUGUGUGUGAGAGAGAGAGAGAGAGAGAGAGAGAGAGAGAGAGAGAGAAAUGAAAAAG